GAUGAACGCUGGCGGCGUGCCUAAUACAUGCAAGUCGAGCGAACAGACGAGGAGCUUUCUCCUCUGACGUUAGCGGCGGACGGGUGAGUAACACGUGGAUAACCUACCUAUAAGACUGGGAUAACUUCGGGAAACCGGAGCUAAUACCGGAUAAUAUAUUGAACCGCAUGGUUCAAUAGUGAAUGACGGUUUUGCUGUUACUUAUAGAUGGAUCCGCGCCGCAUUAGCUAGUUGGUAAGGUAACGGCUUACCAAGGCAACGAUGCGUAGCCGACCUGAGAGGGUGAUCAGCCACACUGGAACUGAGACACGGUCCAGACUCCUACGGGAGGCAGCAGUAGGGAAUCUUCCGCAAUGGGCGAAAGCCUGACGGAGCAACGCCGCGUGAGUGAUGAAGGUCUUCGGAUCGUAAAACUCUGUUAUUAGGGAAGAACAAAUGUGUAAGUAACUAUGCACGUCUUGACGGUACCUAAUCAGAAAGCAACGGCUAACUACGUG
RNAcentral lists this ribosomal RNA (497 nucleotides) under uncultured bacterium. RNAcentral describes it as "partial 16S ribosomal RNA". It matches the Rfam family "Bacterial small subunit ribosomal RNA", at positions 28 to 507 of the family's 1533-position model. The record is from RNAcentral.